GGGGGUGGGCAUAGCUCAGUGGUAGAGCACAUGCUUAGCAUGCAUGAGGUCCUGGGUUCAAUCCCCAGUACCUCCA
This 76-nucleotide transfer RNA is filed under the name Vicugna pacos (alpaca). RNAcentral describes it as "tRNA-Ala (AGC) (tRNA-Ala-AGC-515-1)". It matches the Rfam family "tRNA". From Rfam's summary of the family: Transfer RNA (tRNA) molecules are approximately 80 nucleotides in length. Their secondary structure includes four short double-helical elements and three loops (D, anti-codon, and T loops). Lineage: Eukaryota; Metazoa; Chordata; Mammalia; Artiodactyla; Camelidae. The record is from RNAcentral.